AAGGAUUUAAGUUAAGUAAACUAAUAACCUUCAAAGUUAUAAAUAGAGAGAAUUCUAAGCCUUA
RNAcentral lists this transfer RNA (64 nucleotides) under Chilocorus rubidus. RNAcentral describes it as "tRNA-Trp". The record is from RNAcentral. Lineage: Eukaryota; Metazoa; Arthropoda; Insecta; Coleoptera; Coccinellidae.